Molecule: non-coding RNA, 29 nt
Filed under: Bombyx mori (domestic silkworm)
Lineage: Eukaryota; Metazoa; Arthropoda; Insecta; Lepidoptera; Bombycidae
Source: RNAcentral
UGUUCUAUGAAUGGUGUCGGACCUCCCCC